GGUCCCGUGACGCGUGCGUGGUCGCAAGCCAGGGGCUUCAAACCCCUGUAACUCGACGAGGGUUAGCGGUUCGAUUCCGCCAUGGGACCGCCA
This 93-nucleotide transfer RNA is filed under the name Candidatus Bathyarchaeota archaeon. RNAcentral describes it as "tRNA-Sec". It matches the Rfam family "Selenocysteine transfer RNA". Lineage: Archaea; Thermoproteati; Candidatus Bathyarchaeota. The record is from RNAcentral.